Non-coding RNA from Colinus virginianus (northern bobwhite), 47 nucleotides. The record is from Rfam. NCBI's taxonomy places the organism in Eukaryota, Metazoa, Chordata, Aves, Galliformes, Odontophoridae.
CCAAAGGCUCUUUUCAGAGCCACCACUUAUUCAACUAAAAGGGCUGU